Biomphalaria pfeifferi is the source of this 210-nucleotide non-coding RNA. Lineage: Eukaryota; Metazoa; Mollusca; Gastropoda; Planorbidae. The record is from the annotation of a GenBank genome assembly.
CAAGUCACUGGUAUGUUAGGAUGGAAAUUUAAAUAACAGGUCACAUGAUAUACAUCUACAGCAUUUGGGGGAGGGAUAUGGAGUACUACAUACAAAACCGUCUCUAAUACUGUUGUCUUAACUAGAGACAGCUGCAGCUAAAUGACUACAAUGAAUUGAUAGAAAAUGGAGAGUAUCCAAAUAUCUACUAUCAAAUAGAAUAUCUGUAAC